Salmo salar (Atlantic salmon) is the source of this 58-nucleotide non-coding RNA. The record is from Rfam. NCBI's taxonomy places the organism in Eukaryota, Metazoa, Chordata, Actinopteri, Salmoniformes, Salmonidae.
UGGCUCAGUUGGUAGAGCAUGGUGUUUGCAAUGCCAGGGUUGUGGGUUCAAUUCCCAU